This is a long non-coding RNA of Cavia porcellus (domestic guinea pig), 393 nucleotides long. RefSeq lists it as uncharacterized. Lineage: Eukaryota; Metazoa; Chordata; Mammalia; Rodentia; Caviidae. The record is from RefSeq and is a predicted model, not a curated record. The transcript has 3 exons.
GAUGGUUCAGGUUCAGCAUCUUUCAAAAUCCCAGCGGGGGCCACAGGCCUCUGAAGGCUUGAUUAGAGCUGGAAGAAGUGCUUCUAAACUGGGAAACUCCUGUGGCUGAGGGCAAGGCACCUCAGUUUCUCAGGACCUGAUAUUGCACUGUGGAAACCUGAGUGACUCAUACAGGCUGCCUGGGUAUGCUGAAGACAUGGAGGAUAGUGUGCACCAGGUGUGCCAUCACAGGGGAAGCAAGGAGGAAGUCUCAGUGUCUACUAUGAGCUACAGAGUAAACAAGCUGAAGAGGAACAAACCCUGUCUUGGAAUUCAAUAACGACAGGGAAGCUGGAGAGAGACCAGGAAGGAGAGCGCUGAGGGAGAUGGGGUCAUGGUGAGUGCCUUGCUAAC